AUGAACGCUGGCGGCGUGCCUAAUACAUGCCAGUCGCGCGAACAGACGAGGAGCUUGCUCCUCUGACGUUAGCGGCGGACGGGUGAGUAACACGUGGAUAACCUACCUAUAAGACUGGGAUAACUUCGGGAAACCGGAGCUAAUACCGGAUAAUAUAUUGAACCGCAUGGUUCAAUAGUGAAAGACGGUUUUGCUGUCACUUAUAGAUGGAUCCGCGCCGCAUUAGCUAGUUGGUAAGGUAACGGCUUACCAAGGCAACGAUGCGUAGCCGACCUGAGAGGGUGAUCGGCCACACUGGAACUGAGACACGGUCCAGACUCCUACGGGAGGCAGCAGUGGGGAAUCUUCCGCAAUGGGCGAAAGCCUGACGGAGCAACGCCGCGUGAGUGAUGAAGGUCUUCGGAUCGUAAAACUCUGUUAUUAGGGAAGAACAAAUGUGUAAGUAACUAUGCACGUCUUGACGGUACCUAAUCAGAAAGCCACGGCUAACUACGUG
This 496-nucleotide ribosomal RNA is filed under the name uncultured bacterium. RNAcentral's name for it is "partial 16S ribosomal RNA". It matches the Rfam family "Bacterial small subunit ribosomal RNA", at positions 29 to 507 of the family's 1533-position model. The record is from RNAcentral.